This 837-nucleotide ribosomal RNA is filed under the name Staphylococcus sp. 98B3_12EMannit. RNAcentral's name for it is "bacterial SSU rRNA". It matches the Rfam family "Bacterial small subunit ribosomal RNA", at positions 53 to 871 of the family's 1533-position model. Lineage: Bacteria; Bacillati; Bacillota; Bacilli; Caryophanales; Staphylococcaceae. The record is from RNAcentral.
ACAUGCAAGUCGAGCGAACGGAUAAGGAGCUUGCUCCUUUGAAGUUAGCGGCGGACGGGUGAGUAACACGUGGGUAACCUACCUAUAAGACUGGAAUAACUUCGGGAAACCGGAGCUAAUGCCGGAUAACAUUUGGAACCGCAUGGUUCUAAAGUAAAAGAUGGUUUUGCUAUCACUUAUAGAUGGACCCGCGCCGUAUUAGCUAGUUGGUAAGGUAACGGCUUACCAAGGCAACGAUACGUAGCCGACCUGAGAGGGUGAUCGGCCACACUGGAACUGAGACACGGUCCAGACUCCUACGGGAGGCAGCAGUAGGGAAUCUUCCGCAAUGGACGAAAGUCUGACGGAGCAACGCCGCGUGAGUGAUGAAGGUUUUCGGAUCGUAAAACUCUGUUAUUAGGGAAGAACAAAUGUGUAAGUAACUGUGCACAUCUUGACGGUACCUAAUCAGAAAGCCACGGCUAACUACGUGCCAGCAGCCGCGGUAAUACGUAGGUGGCAAGCGUUAUCCGGAAUUAUUGGGCGUAAAGCGCGCGUAGGCGGUUUCUUAAGUCUGAUGUGAAAGCCCACGGCUCAACCGUGGAGGGUCAUUGGAAACUGGGAAACUUGAGUACAGAAGAGGAAAGUGGAAUUCCAUGUGUAGCGGUGAAAUGCGCAGAGAUAUGGAGGAACACCAGUGGCGAAGGCGACUUUCUGGUCUGUAACUGACGCUGAUGUGCGAAAGCGUGGGGAUCAAACAGGAUUAGAUACCCUGGUAGUCCACGCCGUAAACGAUGAGUGCUAAGUGUUAGGGGGUUUCCGCCCCUUAGUGCUGCAGCUAACGCAUUAAGCACUCCG